CUGUUGCCAUAACUGUACUUAUGGAAUACUGGAAGUUAUUGUUUGAUCAGAAUCACUAAAGUUCUGGGCUUGAGAAUUCUAAAUAUUGACUUUAAGAUGCCCAUUCCAAGAUUUCAAAGAACAGAACCAUGUCACUUAAAGUAAGACAACAAUGUUACAAUGGUAUCUCAUGAAAAGGUUUUUAUAUAACUAUGUGCUGCUAGAUUACAGCCCACCGAAAGCCUUUUGUGAAGCUGUGUUUAGAAUUACCAUUUAAAUGACUGGCUUAGCAAUGUAUGCUGUACAAAGAAGAACUUGGAAUAAGACCCUGUGAAAGUAAACUAGGAAUCAGGGAUUCAUGAAGAAGUACAAAUAAAAUUGUAAUGGAUCAGAACAAAAACUAUGGAAAAGUCAGGAAUCAAAUUUUCUCAUCUGGAAGUGCGAUAGAAUACAUCCUCCUUGGAUACCAUUGAGGUCUUGGAUCAUAGACCUCAAUAACAAAUAGUAGGUAAUAAAUGAUAAGGGAAUACACUGAAAAUGUGCAGAAGAAACACUCAAGAGGCAUGCUGUGCUAAAAGAAAAGUCAUUACAAAACGCUCUCUCCUGCAUGCUACAUUAGCACAAGUUGGAAUGUAUAUUGAUAUUUACGCAUCAUACAUAAUGGGGAGAAAAAUAAAGCAAAAUAAUGAUUUCA
Anolis carolinensis (green anole) is the source of this 673-nucleotide long non-coding RNA. RefSeq lists it as uncharacterized. Lineage: Eukaryota; Metazoa; Chordata; Lepidosauria; Squamata; Anolidae. The record is from RefSeq and is a predicted model, not a curated record. The transcript has 3 exons.